This 892-nucleotide ribosomal RNA is filed under the name uncultured archaeon. RNAcentral describes it as "bacterial SSU rRNA". It matches the Rfam family "Archaeal small subunit ribosomal RNA", at positions 459 to 1352 of the family's 1478-position model. The record is from RNAcentral.
CAGCAGCCGCGGUAAUACCAGCUCUCCGAGUGGUAGGGACGAUUAUUGGGCUUAAAGCGUCCGUAGCCGGCCUGGCAAGUCUUCCGUUAAAUCCAACGAUUCAAUCGUUGGACUGCGGGAGAUACUGUCAGGCUAGGGGGCGGGAGAGGCCGACGGUAUUCCCGGGGUAGGGGUAAAAUCCUAUAAUCCCGGGAAGACCACCAGUGGCGAAGGCUGUCGGCUAGAACGCGCCCGACGGUGAGGGAUGAAAGCUGGGGGAGCGAACCGGAUUAGAUACCCGGGUAGUCCCAGCUGUAAACGAUGCAGGCUAGGUGUUAGAACGGCCACGAGCCGUUCUAGUGCCGCAGGGAAGCCGUUAAGCCUGCCGCCUGGGGAGUACGGCCGCAAGGCUGAAACUUAAAGGAAUUGGCGGGGGAGCACCACAAGGGGUGAAGCUUGCGGUUUAAUUGGAGUCAACGCCGGAAACCUCACCGGGGGCGACAGCAGGGUGAAGGCCAGAUUGAAGGUCUUGCCAGACAAGCUGAGAGGAGGUGCAUGGCCGUCGCCAGUUCGUGCCGUGAGGUGUCCUGUUAAGUCAGGCAACGAUCGAGACCCACGCCCCCUGUUGCCACCGAGGAGGUUUCUCCAAGGGGCACUCUGGGGGGACUGCCGUCGAUAAGGCGGAGGAAGGAGUGGGCCACGGCAGGUCAGUAUGCCCCGAAUCCCCCGGGCCACACGCGAGCUGCAAUGGCUGGGACAGUGGGUUCCGACCUCGAGAGGGGGAGGUAAUCCCUAAACCCAGCCGUAGUUGGGAUCGAGGGCUGAAACUCGCCCUCGUGAACAUGGAAUCCCUAGUAAUCGCGCGUCAUCAUCGCGCGGUGAAUACGUCCCCGCUCCUUGCACACACCGCCCG